RNAcentral lists this unclassified non-coding RNA (314 nucleotides) under Hevea brasiliensis (rubber tree). Lineage: Eukaryota; Viridiplantae; Streptophyta; Magnoliopsida; Malpighiales; Euphorbiaceae. The record is from RNAcentral.
GGGAGAGGGGAUUCUUAAUUAGAGUUUGUUUAGUAUUUUCUUUUUUAUUUAGGAUUCCAAAUCCCAAUAGCCAGAAUAACAAUUCUACUCUGUAUACCUAAGUUCUCUAGUUAUUUUGGUUGAUUUAUUAAUAUUAUUAUUGAUUUUGAUAAUUAAUACAACUGAUAAUUUGUUUCUCUUUCCCUUUGUUCUAUUGGUUCUACGAUUUAGUAGUGCAAUGAAACAUACAUAUGGGAAUGAUGCAUGCUUUUCUUAUGGAAUUUAGGUCUUUGUAUCUCCAACAAGUCAUUAGUGAUAGUCCUAUGGAAAUUGAC